UACGGAGGGUGCAAGCGUUAUCCGGAUUCACUGGGUCUAAAGGGUGCGUAGGCGGGUAAGUAAGUCCGUGGUGAAAUCUCUGAGCUUAACUCAGAAACUGCCGUGGAUACUAUUUGCCUUGAAUAUUGUGGAGGUGAGCGGAAUUGAUUGUGUAGCGGUGAAAUGCAUAGAUACAAUCAAGAACUCCGAUUGCGUAGGCAGCUAACUAGGCUGUAACUGACGCUGAGGCACGAAAGCGUGGGGAGCGAACAGG
Molecule: ribosomal RNA, 253 nt
Filed under: uncultured bacterium
Lineage: Bacteria
Description: partial 16S ribosomal RNA
Rfam family: Bacterial small subunit ribosomal RNA
Source: RNAcentral